This 278-nucleotide ribosomal RNA is filed under the name uncultured bacterium. RNAcentral describes it as "partial 16S ribosomal RNA". It matches the Rfam family "Bacterial small subunit ribosomal RNA", at positions 399 to 691 of the family's 1533-position model. The record is from RNAcentral.
GCGUGAAGGAAGAAGGCUUUCGGGUUGUAAACUUCUUUUAUUUAGGACGAAACAAAUGACGGUACUAAAUGAAUAAGCCACGGCUAACUACGUGCCAGCAGCCGCGGUAAUACGUAGGUGGCAAGCGUUAUCCGGAUUUACUGGGUGUAAAGGGCGUGUAGGCGGGACUGCAAGUCAGAUGUGAAAUUCCAGGGCUCAACCCUGGACCUGCAUUUGAAACUGUGGUUCUUGAGUGAUGGAGAGGCAGGCGGAAUUCCGAGUGUAGCGGUGAAAUGCGU